Molecule: unclassified non-coding RNA, 328 nt
Filed under: plant metagenome
Description: partial contains 5.8S ribosomal RNA, internal transcribed spacer 2, and large subunit ribosomal RNA
Rfam family: 5.8S ribosomal RNA (bases 1-104)
Source: RNAcentral
GAAAUGCGAUAAGUAAUGUGAAUUGCAGAAUUCCGUGAAUCAUCGAAUCUUUGAACGCACAUUGCGCCCUCUGGUAUUCCGGGGGCAUGCCUGUCCGAGCGUCAUUGCGAACCCCUCAAGCACGGCUUGUGUGAUGGGCCCUCCCGCGUCUUGGUCGUCAAGACGGGCCCGAAAUGCAGUGGCGGCUUCGCGGUUAUCCGAUCAGCCAGAGCGUAUGGGGACUCUCUCUCUUGUCACACGCCCGCGGCGCGGACCGACGCCUGUCGACCUUUAUUCAUCUUCUCUCGGAUGACCUCGGAUCAGGUAGGGAUACCCGCUGAACUUAAGC